Molecule: ribosomal RNA, 513 nt
Filed under: uncultured bacterium
Lineage: Bacteria
Description: partial 16S ribosomal RNA
Rfam family: Bacterial small subunit ribosomal RNA
Source: RNAcentral
GACGAACGCUGGCGGCAUGCCUAAUACAUGCAAGUCGAGCGAACAGAUGAAGUGCUUGCACUUCUGACGUUAGCGGCGAACGGGUGAGUAACACGUAAGGAAUCUACCUAUAAGCGGGGGAUAACAUUCGGAAACGGGUGCUCAUACCGCAUAAUAUCUUCUUCCGCAUGGAAGAAGAUUGAAAGACGGCUCCGCUGUCACUUAUAGAUGACCUUGCGGUGCAUUAGUUAGUUGGUGGGGUAAUGGCCUACCAAGACGAUGAUGCAUAGCCGACCUGAGAGGGUGAUCGGCAACAUUGGGACUGAGACACGGCCCAAACUCCUACGGGAGGCAGCAGUAGGGAAUCUUCCGCAAUGGGCGAAAGCCUGACGGAGCGAUGCCGCGUGAGUGAAGAAGGCCUUCGGGUCGUAAAACUCUGUUAUAAGAGAAGAACAAAUUGUAGAGUAACUGCUACAGUCUUGACGGUAUCUUAUCAGAAAGCUACGGCUAACUACGUGCCAGCCGCCGCGGUAA